RNAcentral lists this ribosomal RNA (547 nucleotides) under uncultured bacterium. RNAcentral's name for it is "bacterial SSU rRNA". It matches the Rfam family "Bacterial small subunit ribosomal RNA", at positions 777 to 1321 of the family's 1533-position model. The record is from RNAcentral.
AAUAGAUACCCCCGGUAGUCCACGCCGUAAACGAUGAGUGCUAAGUGUUAGGGGGUUUCCGCCCCUUAGUGCUGCAGCUAACGCAUUAAGCACUCCGCCUGGGGAGUACGGUCGCAAGACUGAAACUCAAAGGAAUUGACGGGGGCCCGCACAAGCGGUGGAGCAUGUGGUUUAAUUCGAAGCAACGCGAAGAACCUUACCAGGUCUUGACAUCCCACUGACCGCUAUGGAGACAUAGUUUUCCCUUCGGGGACAGUGGUGACAGGUGGUGCAUGGUUGUCGUCAGCUCGUGUCGUGAGAUGUUGGGUUAAGUCCCGCAACGAGCGCAACCCUUGAUCUUAGUUGCCAUUCAUUUAGUUGGGCACUCUAAGGUGACUGCCGGUGACAAACCGGAGGAAGGUGGGGAUGACGUCAAAUCAUCAUGCCCCUUAUGACCUGGGCUACACACGUGCUACAAUGGACGGUACAAACGGUUGCCAACCCGCGAGGGGGAGCUAAUCCGAUAAAAUCGUUCUCAGUUCGGAUUGUAGGCUGCAACUCGCUACGU